This 153-nucleotide non-coding RNA is filed under the name Paraburkholderia unamae. RNAcentral describes it as "BcKCsr7". It matches the Rfam family "Burkholderia sRNA 7". From Rfam's summary of the family: Did not show any change in expression in iron-depletion and hydrogen peroxide (oxidative stress) treatment. Lineage: Bacteria; Pseudomonadati; Pseudomonadota; Betaproteobacteria; Burkholderiales; Burkholderiaceae. The record is from RNAcentral.
GUAUUCUUGCGCCCAUGAACUGCAUCCUGUCCGCUCUCCGACGUCGCCGCUCGCCCCAUCUUUAGGGCCUGGCUAGUCGCGGACGCGCGUUGCACCUCUCCAACGCACAGCAAGUUCGAAUCACGAAAGCCACGGCCAGUCCGUGGCUUUUUG